CUUCAGUUGAAACAGUAUCUUCAGUACUCUUUUCUUUUACCUUUUUCUUUCCAUUUUCUUAGAUAUCCUUGGACCAUGUUUCUUUGCACUCUCUGCUACACAGAAGCCCAGCACUGUUUGAGGACAGAGACAGCUUUCUUGUUUAAACAAUGAUCUAAUGUUUAAGAUCUUCAUCAAUGAAGAAUUUUCAAGCAUGUGAAAGGGGAAUGCCCAGCCCCAAGUGACCAGUAAUUCCUUCAAUAUAUGGUGUGUUGACCGCCUCCAUCUCAUGGGAUUGUGUCUGCUCUCUCACUGGCAAGCUGAAACUUUUCAUGAAGACUUUAAUAAAUCCCUUGGGGGUUGGACCUUUCUGCAAAUAUAUAUCUGUGGUGGUACUAGAAAACACAGUAUGCCAUGGAAAUAUUGAGAGUCUUGCCAUUACAGCACCAAGGCUGAGCUCCACAGAAGGAAGCUCUGCCCUGAACUUACCCUGGACCCACAGCCAAAGCACUGGAGCUGUCCCUGCUGGGUGUGAGUGGGUUGGCACUUGCCCUUUGCCAGGAGAGGUGGGGGCCAAGAACUUCAAGCUCCCCUGGAGCCCACAGCACUUUGCCAGGCAGAUUAAUGGAAAACAGAUGAGGCUCUGCCAGAAUUUUGUUGCAAUUGCACAAUUUCAGUAAAACUUCCAUUGAAAUUUGAAGUCAAAUGAAUGGAAAUAUUCCAUCUAUAGCACCACUUAGACCUCUUAGUGAGUAAUUGCUGAUUAGUUUCAUUUACUAUUAUGUCAGCCAUUGAGAACCAACAGGGUUUAAUGAAAAUGAACGACAGACCCAGCUGCUCUGACUUACCUAGGCCUGCUGCCCUUAUUUAAGAUAGAUGUUAUUGAAUGGAGUUUUUGAUUAUUUAUGGACUAGAGAUGGUUUUGCCCUCCAAUGGAUGUUCCAUUUUCUGCCCCUUACUAAAUCCAGAGCUGAAAUAUUAAUUACUUCUGUUUUUGUUUUUUUCCUAUAUCACUUCUGGCAUUCUUGAUGCAUACAUUUAAUGACACACAUCUAUGGCCACUAAAAUUGCUAAUAUUUUCAUUGAUUUAUUUUUGUCCUUGAAGACAUAACCUUUUACUUUUCUUUAACUCCCCUCAUUCAUUUACUACAACUGUAAUUGUUAAAUUAAAACAGCCUCCUGAUACAAGAAAAUUAUACAUCAAGCAUCAUCAAGACACAGCAGAGCUGAUGCUCUAGGGAAUGAAGGCUGCCUAACUAGAAGGGAAGCAGAAAUCAGGGGAGAGGUUUGUGGAAUAGGUGCUGUGUAUAUGUCUGGGGCUGCAGUGCCUCCCUCUUUAGCGGGCAGGUUGCAAAUGCUGGCUGGCUGUGGGCAUGGUUCUCACAUGAGCUCAUUGAUGUUGGAGCUGUGUGUAGCUCAGUAUAUUUUGGGCUAUGAGUAUACAUCAGACAAGUAUGUAACAGCGGGAAAACCUGCAGCUGCAAUGAUGGGAAGUAUUUAUACACAGUGGCACCAUGUGGUGUGCUCCCCUAUUCUAUAGUCAGUGAUAUAUAUACUCCCAUACUAUAUUUAGUUGCUCUACCCUGUGUCCCAGCUAAUCCAAAGAAUGAGGGCAUUCAAUAUCUCACAGAUUACCCCACUUUUAACACCAGCCAUUCACCAUACCCGAUGACAUCAAUGCAGAGCCAUGAAUAGACAGAAAACAGGGAAUGCCAAAGGCUAUUGUAUGAAGGAGCUGCCAUCUUGCUCAUCUGUGAAUACAUGGAUACACAAAUUUCUCUCUUAAAAGGGAAUGAAGUUUUAGCAAUACCUGUGUUAAGGCUGCCAUCCUGACUCUGCUUGGUUUUCAAACUAAAAUUCUUCUUCUGCUAGAACUAAAGAAGGUGAAGAAUAAUCUGCAGUCUUCAAAAAAUCAUUUAUUAUACAUUAAUGGAUGGUCGAAUAAUAAAAAUCCUCACCAAGACUGUUGUCA
Molecule: long non-coding RNA, 1951 nt
Organism: Parus major (Great Tit)
Lineage: Eukaryota; Metazoa; Chordata; Aves; Passeriformes; Paridae
Source: Ensembl